Molecule: ribosomal RNA, 253 nt
Filed under: uncultured bacterium
Lineage: Bacteria
Description: partial 16S ribosomal RNA
Rfam family: Bacterial small subunit ribosomal RNA
Source: RNAcentral
UACGGAGGGGGCUAGCGUUGCUCGGAAUCACUGGGCGUAAAGCGCACGUAGGCGGAUUGCUAAGUCAGGGGUGAAAUCCUGGAGCUCAACUCCAGAACUGCCUUUGAUACUGGCGGUCUCGAGUCCGGGAGAGGUGAGUGGAACUGCGAGUGUAGAGGUGAAAUUCGUAGAUAUUCGCAAGAACACCAGUGGCGAAGGCGGCUCACUGGCCCGGUACUGACGCUGAGGUGCGAAAGCGUGGGGAGCAAACAGG